RNAcentral lists this unclassified non-coding RNA (269 nucleotides) under fungal sp. RNAcentral's name for it is "partial internal transcribed spacer region". The stretch from base 1 to 45 matches the Rfam family "Eukaryotic small subunit ribosomal RNA", at positions 1787 to 1831 of the family's 1831-position model. Lineage: Eukaryota; Fungi. The record is from RNAcentral.
AGUCGUAACAAGGUUUCCGUAGGUGAACCUGCGGAAGGAUCAUUAUCAUUUGUAUAUCACACUCACUCACUCAUAUAAGGAGUUUAACAGCUCCUUAUAUGUGUGUUUAACACCAAUGUGAACUUUUAUAAAGUCCAUAACCUCAAUUUUAACUCCAUUGUAACCUUAUUUUUGUUAGUUGUUUUAGGUUUGUAUGCUUGUCUUGUCAUACAUAACCCAAAAUAUAAUAAUCAAAAAUACAAUCUUUAACGAUGGAUAUCUCGGCUCGU